Molecule: ribosomal RNA, 696 nt
Filed under: uncultured Bacilli bacterium
Lineage: Bacteria; Bacillati; Bacillota; Bacilli
Description: bacterial SSU rRNA
Rfam family: Bacterial small subunit ribosomal RNA
Source: RNAcentral
AGGAGCUUGCUUCUCUGGAUGAGUUGCGAACGGGUGAGUAACGCGUAGGUAACCUGCCUGGUAGCGGGGGAUAACUAUUGGAAACGAUAGCUAAUACCGCAUAAUAGUAGAUGUUGCAUGACAUUUGCUUAAAAGGUGCAAUUGCAUCACUACCAGAUGGACCUGCGUUGUAUUAGCUAGUUGGUGGGGUAACGGCUCACCAAGGCGACGAUACAUAGCCGACCUGAGAGGGUGAUCGGCCACACUGGGACUGAGACACGGCCCAGACUCCUACGGGAGGCAGCAGUAGGGAAUCUUCGGCAAUGGACGGAAGUCUGACCGAGCAACGCCGCGUGAGUGAAGAAGGUUUUCGGAUCGUAAAGCUCUGUUGUAAGAGAAGAACGAGUGUGAGAGUGGAAAGUUCACACUGUGACGGUAUCUUACCAGAAAGGGACGGCUAACUACGUGCCAGCAGCCGCGGUAAUACGUAGGUCCCGAGCGUUGUCCGGAUUUAUUGGGCGUAAAGCGAGCGCAGGCGGUUAGAUAAGUCUGAAGUUAAAGGCUGUGGCUUAACCAUAGUACGCUUUGGAAACUGUUUAACUUGAGUGCAAGAGGGGAGAGUGGAAUUCCAUGUGUAGCGGUGAAAUGCGUAGAUAUAUGGAGGAACACCGGUGGCGAAAGCGGCUCUCUGGCUUGUAACUGACGCUGAGGCUCGAA